CCUACGGGAGGCUGCAGUGGGGAAUAUUGGACAAUGGGGGGAACCCUGAUCCAGCCAUGCCGCGUGUGUGAAGAAGGCCCUCGGGUUGUAAAGCACUUUCAGUGAGGAAGAACGCCUGGUGGUUAAUACCCAUCAGGAAAGACAUCACUCACAGAAGAGGCACCGGCUAACUCCGUGCCAGCAGCCGCGGUAAUACGGAGGGUGCGAGCGUUAAUCGGAAUUACUGGGCGUAAAGCGCGCGUAGGUGGCUUGAUAAGCCGGUUGUGAAAGCCCCGGGCUCAACCUGGGAACGGCAUCCGGAACUGUCAAGCUAGAGUGCAGGAGAGGAAGGUAGAAUUCCCGGUGUAGCGGUGAAAUGCGUAGAGAUCGGGAGGAAUACCAGUGGCGAAGGCGGCCUUCUGGACUGACACUGACACUGAGGUGCGAAAGCGUGGGUAGCAAACAGGAUUAGAUACCCCUGUAGUC
This 465-nucleotide ribosomal RNA is filed under the name Vreelandella stevensii. Its description in RNAcentral is "partial 16S ribosomal RNA". It matches the Rfam family "Bacterial small subunit ribosomal RNA", at positions 338 to 795 of the family's 1533-position model. Lineage: Bacteria; Pseudomonadati; Pseudomonadota; Gammaproteobacteria; Oceanospirillales; Halomonadaceae. The record is from RNAcentral.